Molecule: long non-coding RNA, 2211 nt
Organism: Syngnathus typhle (broad-nosed pipefish)
Lineage: Eukaryota; Metazoa; Chordata; Actinopteri; Syngnathiformes; Syngnathidae
Exons: 3
Source: RefSeq, a predicted model, not a curated record
CCGAAGGCAGGAAUGCUCCGGCCGCAGCUGCCUUGGAGAAGCACAGCAGCCAACCCCCGCCUUCCCUUUUCUUUUUUUCUCCAAGAGCCACGUAUGAAGUUCCUGCAGAGGAAAAAAGCUGGCGACGGAGAAAAGCAAAAUGUCACGUGACACAGUCCUUGAAGCUGAUUGGCUGACGCGAGGCGUUUUUUUGUGUUGCGUGUGGACGUGUCCCAAGCAGAUAAGUAACGUGCCACAUUUCACGAGCUCCUCAGGCGACUCUUCUGUGAAGCACCUGAAGUAUGCGGACGACAGACACUACUCUCAACGGACUGAUCCGGGACGGUGACGAGACUGCGUACAGACAGGAGGUGGAGCGGCUGGUCCACUGGUGCAGCCAAAACCACCUGGAGCUGAACCCGCUCAAGACCCCUUCGCCACUUUCACCCCCACCAUCCUCAGUAAUGCUAUUCUCACCACAGACACAAGUUCCUGGGAUCCACAAUCUCACGGGACCUGAAAUUGACCGACCACGUAGACUCUGCCCGGAAGAAGGCCCAGCAGAGGUUGUACUUUCUGGGACAGCUCAGGAAGUUCAAGCUGCCACAGGAGGUGCUGAAAACCUUCUACACUGCCACUAUCCAGUCUAUCAUCUGCACCGCCAUCACCAUCUGGUUUGGAUCGGCCUGAGGGAUACAUUGUAGUUCCAUUAGGUAGAUAUAGCGUAAAUGGGGAAAAAAACGUGAAACAAUCCAAACAUUUAAAGUAGAAAUGGAUAGAGGGAUGGUUUGUUGACUUGGAAGUUGCAAAUUUGCCCACGGAAAUGUAGCCACCGAUCAUUCUGCACUGUGAUUUUGCAGUCAUCUUUUCACCACUGCCACUCACAAGGAAAAUAGCAACAGUGUUGAUCUUAAUUCCGACAAAAUCAGGAAAUAAAAUUACUUCCCAAAGACUGUCAAGACUUUCAAAGAUACUUUUGAAAUCCUUCCCAGCUUCAUAAAGGUUAACAUUUCUUAAUCGUAGUUCACACACACAAAGACGAACAACCAUCCACACUCGCCCUCACACCUAUGGGCAAUUUGGAGCACUCAAUCAGCCUACCGAGCAUGUUUUGUGGAGGAAAUGGGAGUGCCCGGAGAAAACCCACGCAGGCACGGGGAGAACAUGCAAACUCCACACAGGGAGGGCCGGAGUUGGAAUCAAACCCGCACCCUCUGAACUGUUAGGCGGACAUGCUAACCAAUGCCCAGUGUGCCACCUAACCCCAAGAUAGGGUGUUAUUUUUAUAGGGCAGGGCAGUUCACACCCAACCACAGAGACAUACUGUGACCUAAUUUCAGCCUGGGCAUAUUCAUUGAUUGGGAUGGGGUUGGCAGGCAACAUAAACCAAAAUGUUUUUGUUUUUUUACGUGGGUGGGGUUGGACUCGUCCUGAUGCAUACUGAUUUCGGCCCGUGAUGAACUGGCUGUUCGAGAAUCUCCCGAAAUUACAGAUGCCCAACAUGCUGCUGCCCCACAAUCUGGAAUCGUCACAGAACCUUCAGGGUUCACAUACUUUUUCUGUCCUCCACUGUAAAGUUGCGUUCAAUAAAAACAUGAAAACAUGUCAUUGUAUGUGUGAUAUUAGUCUAAGCAGGUACUUUUUGUCCAUUGAUGUGACCGCAAAUAAUGAGCAAUUUCUGUAGUUCAUCUACUUUUCUUGUGACCGUAUAUAUUGUGAAUAGCUAUCACUGUCAAAUGGAAUUGAUUUCCAAUGCUGAUUAGUCUACACAAAUGUCACCUUGAUGAACUGUAUCAUGAGUAAUUUUGUAGAGAGAAUUAUUAUAAUAAUUGCUGUACUGAUAUAUUGGAUUGUUAGCAAGAUAUUGAGAUAUUGCCAUCAUGUAAAUAUGAAAAUAUGAAGUUAUUACAUCCUAGACAAAAUAAAUUGACGAAGCAUCUUGUUGAUAGGAUGAAAACUUUAACAAUAUUUAAUGUACAUAUUCAAACGGAUAUUCAAAUGAUUAAAGCUUUUUAAAGAGCUGAUCGUUUUAUGCUCAACAAAUAUUUGCUUCUUGGUUCUGCUACUAGUUAGAAUAGUAACAGAUUCUUAAUUCUGUUUUGGCCCUAAAGUAAAAGAGGUUGGGUGACCAUUAUUGUCUCAAUUAUAUGAAACAAUUUCCACCCUAAAAACUGGGAAGUUUCAUGAUUUGUAAGUUGUACUACUACAGUUUUUAUCUUUUUUUUUUUUUAC